AUACGGAGGGUGCGAGCGUUAUCCGGAAUCACUGGGUUUAAAGGGUGCGUAGGCGGCAUCAUAAGUCAGAGGUGAAAGGCCACAGCUUAACUGUGGAACUGCCUUUGAAACUGUGGAGCUAGAAUAAGGUUGAGGUUAGCGGAAUGUGACAUGUAGCGGUGAAAUGCAUAGAUAUGUCAUAGAACACCAAUUGCGAAGGCAGCUAACCGGGCCUUUAUUGACGCUGAGGCACGAAAGCGUGGGGAGCGAACAGGAUUAGAUACCCCAGUAGUCC
This 274-nucleotide ribosomal RNA is filed under the name uncultured bacterium. Its description in RNAcentral is "partial 16S ribosomal RNA". It matches the Rfam family "Bacterial small subunit ribosomal RNA", at positions 523 to 796 of the family's 1533-position model. The record is from RNAcentral.